This 76-nucleotide transfer RNA is filed under the name compost metagenome. RNAcentral's name for it is "tRNA-Thr". It matches the Rfam family "tRNA". From Rfam's summary of the family: Transfer RNA (tRNA) molecules are approximately 80 nucleotides in length. Their secondary structure includes four short double-helical elements and three loops (D, anti-codon, and T loops). The record is from RNAcentral.
GCCGCUUUAGCUCACCCGGUAGAGCACAUCAUUCGUAAUGAUGGGGUCAGGUGUUCGAGUCACCUAAGCGGCACCA